This 654-nucleotide long non-coding RNA is filed under the name Acromyrmex echinatior (Panamanian leafcutter ant). RNAcentral's name for it is "uncharacterized LOC105151064, transcript variant X2". The record is from RNAcentral. Lineage: Eukaryota; Metazoa; Arthropoda; Insecta; Hymenoptera; Formicidae.
GCGAUUGGCGAGACCUCUUCGGUUUCACUCGACGAUUGUCGGCGAGCCAGGGACGGCUCUAUUGGCACCUCGGCCCUUCCGUGUUUCCCCGCACAAUUCAAUAAUGAUCAUUCGACGAACUACAUGUAAAUUUGAAUUACAAAGAAACGCGCAAAAGUCGUCCCGAGAGAUACAUAAUGAUAGUAUUUUAACGGGAUGACGCAAUGCUGCGAUCCGGAAAAAAAAUGGAGAUAACGAAACAACAUUUCGUACAAGCAGCCAUUCUUUUAUGCAGUGUUGCGAGAUGCGAUUUGUAAGAUACAUUUUAGCUCUACUGCCAUGUACAUGGAAGAAUUACGCGCGAUUACACAAAGGUGUUAAUCUUCAUACAGUCGACAGAACGUCGAUAUCAGUACGAGCGCCAGCUCGAUCGUCUCGCAAAGGAGACCACGUGACACACUAGUCUUGCGCCAAAACAUAAUGUAACAUAGUUACAGCCUCAUGUGCGGUAGCAGAAGAGAUUUAACUGAGAGGAAAGGGGAUGGAUCUGAAGAUGACGUCGUAACCCAGAAGGGGUAAGCAGAUGUGCAUCGACUACCUGCACAGCAAGACAAGGCCGACUGACACGACCGGUCCAAAUUGUCAAGCAACGGGGCAUGUCACGAACACUCCUCG